This 442-nucleotide ribosomal RNA is filed under the name uncultured bacterium. RNAcentral's name for it is "partial 16S ribosomal RNA". It matches the Rfam family "Bacterial small subunit ribosomal RNA", at positions 338 to 795 of the family's 1533-position model. The record is from RNAcentral.
CCUACGGGAGGCAGCAGUAGGGAAUCUUUCACAAUGGGCGAACGCCUGAUGGAGCAACGCCGCGUGCAGGAUGAAGGCCUUCGGGUUGUAAACUGCUUUUAUAAGCGAGAAAUAUUAUGGUAACUUAUUAAUAAGGAUCGGCUAACUACGUGCCAGCAGCCGCCGUCAUACGUAGGAUCCGAGCAUUCUCCGGAGGGACUGUGUGUAAAGAGUUGCGUAGGUGGCAUAAUUAGUAGCUAGUGAAAGCUGUUGGCUCAACCAUUCAGACUAUUAGCUAAACUGUUAAGCUCGAGACCGUUAGGGGUAACUGGAAUUUCUAGUGUAGGAGUGAAAUCCGUAGAUAUUAGAAGGAACACCAAUAGCGGAGGCAGGUUACUGGGACGGUUCUGACACUAAGGCACGAAAGCGUAGGGAGCAAACGGGAUUAGAUACCCCUGUAGUC